AUGGAGAUAGAAGUUCAUCUCUUUAAGGUCUCCCAAGACUCACAAAGGUUUUGUCAUCCUUGCUGUCUCCUCCCAACAGGGCACCUCUUGGCUGCAUGUGGGAACAGACCAACCCUUUGUUUCAGUCACCAUAGGAAUGUUUUACCAAGUCUGGGCUGUCGCCCAAGAUGGCUCGGCAUUCUGUCGCGGUUCAGUGUCAUCAAAGAAACCAGAAGGCGAAUGCUGGUACCACGUUCCUUCUCCUCUGAAGCAGAAGUUAAAGCAAGUGUCCGUGGGACGAACGGCUGUGCUGGCGGUGGAUAAAAAUGGUAAUCUGUGGUUUCGUGCCGGAAUCACACCGAGUUACCCUCAAGGAUCUAGUUGGGAACAUAUUUCAAACAACGUCCGGAAAGUUUCUGUGGGACCCUUGGAUCAGGUGUGGCCGUAGUAGAAAAGUAUAUAUUUUAAGAAUUUAAACCAGUGGUUUUUUUUAACC
This 475-nucleotide long non-coding RNA is filed under the name Notechis scutatus (mainland tiger snake). RNAcentral's name for it is "lncRNA (ENSNSUG00000020044.1)". Lineage: Eukaryota; Metazoa; Chordata; Lepidosauria; Squamata; Elapidae. The record is from RNAcentral.